Molecule: ribosomal RNA, 372 nt
Filed under: uncultured Streptococcus sp.
Lineage: Bacteria; Bacillati; Bacillota; Bacilli; Lactobacillales; Streptococcaceae
Description: bacterial SSU rRNA
Rfam family: Bacterial small subunit ribosomal RNA
Source: RNAcentral
AGAUUAGAAAGUUACUUCGGUACAUCGGUGACAGGUGGUGCAUGGUUGUCGCCAGCUCGUGUCGUGAGAUGUUGGGUUAAGUCCCGCAACGAGCGCAACCCUAUUGUUAGUUGCCAUCAUUCAGUUGGGCACUCUAGCGAGACUGCCGGUAAUAACCGGAGGAAGUGGGAUGACGUCAAAUCAUCAUGCCCUUAUGACCUGGGCUACACACGUGCUACAAUGGUUGGUACAACGAGUUGCGAGUCGGUGACGGCGAGCUAAUCUCUUAAAGCCAAUCUCAGUUCGGAUUGUAGGCUGCAACUCGCCUACAUGAAGUCGGAAUCGCUAGUAAUCGCGGAUCAGCACGCCGCGGUGAAUACGUUCCCGGGCCUU